RNAcentral lists this ribosomal RNA (253 nucleotides) under uncultured bacterium. Its description in RNAcentral is "partial 16S ribosomal RNA". It matches the Rfam family "Bacterial small subunit ribosomal RNA", at positions 524 to 776 of the family's 1533-position model. The record is from RNAcentral.
UACGUAGGGGGCAAGCGUUGUCCGGAAUCAUUGGGCGUAAAGAGCGUGUAGGCGGCCUGAUAAGUCGGCUGUGAAAGUCAAGGGCUCAACCCUUGAAUGCCGGCCGAUACUGUCAGGCUAGAGUCCGGAAGAGGCGAGUGGAAUUCCUGGUGUAGCGGUGAAAUGCGUAGAUAUCAGGAGGAACACCGGUGGCGAAGGCGUCCCUCUGGCCGGAUACUGACGCUGAGACGCGAAAGCGUGGGGAGCAAACAGG